RNAcentral lists this transfer RNA (75 nucleotides) under Nanobdellati archaeon. RNAcentral's name for it is "DPANN group archaeon tRNA-Glu". It matches the Rfam family "tRNA". From Rfam's summary of the family: Transfer RNA (tRNA) molecules are approximately 80 nucleotides in length. Their secondary structure includes four short double-helical elements and three loops (D, anti-codon, and T loops). Further hydrogen bonds mediate the characteristic L-shaped molecular structure. tRNAs have two regions of fundamental functional importance: the anti-codon, which is responsible for specific mRNA codon recognition, and the 3' end, to which the tRNAs corresponding amino acid is attached (by aminoacyl-tRNA synthetases). tRNAs cope with the degeneracy of the genetic code in two manners: having more than one tRNA (with a specific anti-codon) for a particular amino acid; and 'wobble' base-pairing, i.e. permitting non-standard base-pairing at the 3rd anti-codon position. The record is from RNAcentral. Lineage: Archaea; Nanobdellati. RNAcentral also lists the same sequence under 2 other names.
GCUCCCGUAGUGUAGACCGGCCAAUCAUGCAAGGCUCUCAAUCUUGUGACUCGGGUUCAAAUCCCGGCGGGAGCA